GCCCAGAUAGCUCAGUCGGUAGAGCAGGGGACUGAAAAUCCACGUGUCGGUGGUUCGAUUCCGCCUCUGGGCACCA
RNAcentral lists this transfer RNA (76 nucleotides) under Clostridioides difficile. RNAcentral describes it as "tRNA-Phe". It matches the Rfam family "tRNA". From Rfam's summary of the family: Transfer RNA (tRNA) molecules are approximately 80 nucleotides in length. Their secondary structure includes four short double-helical elements and three loops (D, anti-codon, and T loops). The record is from RNAcentral. Lineage: Bacteria; Bacillati; Bacillota; Clostridia; Peptostreptococcales; Peptostreptococcaceae.